This is a long non-coding RNA of Panicum virgatum (switchgrass), 768 nucleotides long. RefSeq lists it as uncharacterized. The transcript has 2 exons. The record is from RefSeq and is a predicted model, not a curated record. NCBI's taxonomy places the organism in Eukaryota, Viridiplantae, Streptophyta, Magnoliopsida, Poales, Poaceae.
ACAACAAUAGAACACCAAGCCAAGCCCCCCGUCAGCCUUAUCCCCUCAUUCCACCUCCGGUCAAAACGCAAAAGGCAAAAAGAAACUCGUCUCUCUCUCUCUCUCAACACAUCUCUGAUUUCUCCGCCAGCUUGCUGCCUCCGGAUCAGAGCCUCAGAGGCCAUCGCCUGAGUGCUGUGGAGAGGAUCUGUGGAUGUGUGUGCUCCAUGUUUGGUAGCUGCGCUGGAAGUUUUGCGACAGCGAGCAGGACGGCGGCGGCCGGCGGCGGCCAGGACUCCUGGGAACCUCAACAACUGGCCCCUCCCCCACGCGAUCCGCCCCUGCGGUCUGCGGAUGCCUCAAUGGCUCGACGCUCGCGCAGGUCCGGAGCAAAGGAGUUGUGGAAGAGAUGUUACGUCCAUAGCGGUUGCAACAGUGGAGGAGCAGGAAAACAUAGAGGACGGCCGGCAAAAGGAGGAUGCAACCGGGGUGGUAGUGAUAGCUGGUUCUCGUUUUUUUUUUUUUUGCUGAAAUGGUUCUCAUGCGGGAAUAGAUGCUCCAGUAGUUUCUCACUACCUCUACCUUUCCCCACUUAUUGAUAAUAUUUGACUCCAACUCUCUCCAUAUAAAUGGAGAUCAGUUUCCACCCUCUCAAUAAAGUAGUUAUAUUAGGAUUAGACUAUUGGGAACUGUAACUAAAAUCAACUCCCUCAAUAAAUCAUAAAAUUAAGUGGUAUUGGAACAAUCCAAUAACAUUUUGUUGGAAAAAAAAUGUUUAUUGCGAAGCUA